RNAcentral lists this transfer RNA (65 nucleotides) under Urechis unicinctus. Its description in RNAcentral is "tRNA-Cys". The record is from RNAcentral. Lineage: Eukaryota; Metazoa; Annelida; Polychaeta; Xenopneusta; Urechidae.
UACCCUAUAGUUGAUAAUACAACGCAAGCCUGCAAAGCAAGAGGAGGGAUUUCUCCCUAGGGUUU